Molecule: ribosomal RNA, 468 nt
Filed under: uncultured bacterium
Lineage: Bacteria
Description: partial 16S ribosomal RNA
Rfam family: Bacterial small subunit ribosomal RNA
Source: RNAcentral
GACGAACGCUGGCGGCGUGCUUAACACAUGCAAGUCGAACGGAAAGGCCCUGCUUUUGUGGGGUGCUCGAGUGGCGAACGGGUGAGUAACACGUGAGUAACCUGCCCUUGACUUUGGGAUAACUUCAGGAAACUGGGGCUAAUACCGGAUAGGAGCUCCUGCUGCAUGGUGGGGGUUGGAAAGUUUCGACGGUUGGGGAUGGACUCGCGGCUUAUCAGCUUGUUGGUGGGGUAGUGGCUUACCAAGGCUUUGACGGGUAGCCGGCCUGAGAGGGUGACCGGCCACAUUGGGACUGCGAUACGGCCCAGACUCCUACGGGAGGCAGCAGUGGGGAAUAUUGCACAAUGGGCGGAAGCCUGAUGCAGCAACGCCGCGUGCGGGAUGACGGCCUUCGGGUUGUAAACCGCUUUCGCCUGUGACGAAGCGUGAGUGACGGUAAUGGGUAAAGAAGCACCGGCUAACUACGUG